UUCGUAAUGACAGAUAAGUAACACGCUCCUGAUUCGUUUUAACCGUUUUGAUGUGUAUCGCGACAGUUAAAUAGCAUAAGGGGCCGUUACGAACGGCGAUCGCAAAACUGAAAAAUAUCGCAAAGUGACUUUUCCCCCCAAAUUAUUCAGCCCUAAAUAGAAAUUUGUUCAUGUGACAUUACUGAGGACGUGGUGAAAGAUGUAGAGGGCGUAGGUCAGACUCUAAGAGUGAUAGGAUGGAGGGGAGGGGGGGGGUCCGUCAUCCCCCUGUUUCCGACAUUCCUGUAUGUUAUAUGUUCUCUUCCUGUCAUGUUGGUUUCCAAUGGGCUGUGCCCUGCGCCUCGUUAGGAAGGCUCCACGAUUUCUAACCCCUUUAUAAGAUAAGCUGUUAGACGAUGGAUGAAAGGUGCAGUUCAACGUAUAUUCCACUAGAUGGAUGCAUCUCCUUAAAAAACCACCAGUCUGAGACUUUGGCCUUACCAUAGAAGACAACUUUAUUGAUCCCAGGGGGAAUUGUUUUACAGCAGUGAGACACAAUCGUGUGAAAAAACAUGUCAGCCUCAUCAGAGGACCAGUUCCUUGUCAGCACCUGCACCAGCUAAGCACCAGUAAAAAAAGGCUGGCAGCACAUGUGAUCGCCGCAGAUUUAGAGACCUGCAUCUUCUUGCUGAGAUUAGAUAAGCAGAUCUGAAAUCAGCAGGAAUCCCCCACAGGAGUCCAAGAGAAAGUUUCACUAAGGGCUCUCUAGGGUGGAUACAUGCAUGCAAGGCUGUGUCAUGCCACUUGAGGAGGGGCCACUGAUUUACAGAACUACAUGUGUGCUAUUGUUUGAGAGUUUCAUGGCGGAUUGCCCAGCUUGGAAGCAUCACUGGUGUAGCUGGUGUUCCAGAUGACCAGUCUGAC
Long non-coding RNA from Brienomyrus brachyistius, 903 nucleotides. RefSeq lists it as uncharacterized. The transcript has 3 exons. The record is from RefSeq and is a predicted model, not a curated record. Lineage: Eukaryota; Metazoa; Chordata; Actinopteri; Osteoglossiformes; Mormyridae.